CACAGCACAGCUUUCAAUGUAUGUAAGCAUCAGCAACAGAUUUAUAGAUGGUAUAUAAGGGCCCUUCAUCCAAAAUUUUAGCACAACUUGCUUGACCAGAUCAACUGACAGUAAAACGGAACUGAAAAUGGGAAAGGUAAGAUUAUCUCACAAAUGUAUUAUUUAUGUUCCAACAGAAUAAAGAUUAGAAACAACGGUUAAAUUAUCUGUUAACAUUUGAACCAACAGUUAAUAUUUUGAAGACAUGCUGGUUAAACUUAAUGACAGGGUUGGAACACGACGUAUGGUUUCAACAGAAUGUAUAAGGAUUUAGCGGUCAUUAACCACUUUACACCAUGUUAGAGGUAACAGGAGCCUUUAGCCACAACUCAUUGACUGGCUUUCAGUAUAAAUUUGCAGUCAGGAACUUCUCGUUAGCAGUAGCGACAGGCAUCAUAAAAAGUAGUGAUAAGUCAAUAAAACAUAGUGACAAAGUUGUAAACAAACCCAUAGAGUUUUUUUAAAUUGAAGAACUGGUGAGCAGAUGUGUGUGUAUAACGAGUUUAAAAUGUAGGUAAAAUAGCUUAAAAAUGUCUUACUUCAGCCAUUAGAUAGCUAAUAUAAUGCUGCUGCAAUGGGUGGGGAUGGUAGGAGCAUGGCCAUGAUGAGGGAUUUCUGUCAUCCAAUUUGUACUACUGGUAUACCCUGAGGUGGCUCAGUCCCUGCCAAACCCUGUCUGUCUCUUCAUAUUUGCCAAAGGACACACGAAUGGUAAUAUAUGCAUGUAUUACAAACCAGGACCAUAAUAUAUUACUUUAUAUAAGUAUACAGUAAUCAAAUUAGCAUUACUUUAUAUUUGUCUCCUUUAUUAAAACCAUUUUCACAGCUUUAGUAAUUGUACAAUUUAUACAUUUGUGUAUUUUAUGAGCCCUUGUUAUGUUUGAUACAUCAUUAUCAACUAAAUAAAAAUGUAUACAUUUAAAAGUAUAAAAUAUUCUAAUGCACAAUUCAAUUUAUAGAUUGUCUUCUACGAGGAUCGUAACUUUCAGGGACGAUCUUAUGAGUGUAGCUCUGAGUGUCCAGACUUGACCUCAUAUUUUCAUCGCUGCAAUUCCAUCCGAGUGGAAAGUGGAAACUGGAUAUUAUAUGAGCACCCAAACUACAGAGGACACCAGUAUUACCUUAGCAGGGGAGCAUAUCCUAAUUUUCAGCAAUGGAUGGGUUUUAAUGAUUCCAUCAGAUCCUGCCGUGUUAGCCCACAGGUAAAUAGAUUUACCAGAAAAGUUAAGCAUUUUUUUUUACAAACGUAUUGUUUCUCUCCAAAAAAAGCAUUCUUGGUUGGUAUUAAUAAUUAAUAAAGGUUUCAGGUUUGAAAAUAUAACCUUAUUUUUUUAAAUAACAUUGUUAAAUAUCUUUUUACAUUUUUUUUAUUAUAUUAUUAUAUACAUUUUAUGUAUUAUAUUGUUAAGUGACUAAGCCAGCAUUAGCUUUCAUGGGAAUAGGUGGGUCAAUGUCAAAAUUAUGCUCACAGUAUAGGUUCUUGAUAUUCACAUUAAAUUAUGCUAUUUUUUUAAUUCUAUUUAUAAAAUAUAUAUAUAUAUUUUAAAUCUCAUAAAGCACCACGGAUCAUUCAAGGUAAAGGUCUAUGAGAGGGAUGACUUCAGAGGUCAAAUGAUGGAGUUCACUGAAGAUUGUCCUAAUACUCAUGAAAGAUUCCGUUACCAUGACAUCAACUCCUGCCAGGUGCUUGAUGGCUACUGGAUGUUCUAUGAGGAGCCCAACUACAGGGGCCGCCAGUAUUACCUGAGACCUGGAGAGUACAGAAGAUAUACUGACUGGGGUGCCAUGAGCCCAAGAAUUGGCUCAUUUAGGAGAGUCCAUCAUUUCUAAUAUGUUAUCUUAAUUUAUGAAUUCAAUAAAUGUAUCAAACAUUCAUCAUCAUUAAUGUUAUCAUAUUUACUUACCUUUUUUAGCAACAAGAUUCUCUGGGUGCUGUAUCAAAUAUUUAUAACAAUGAUAAUAUCUUCCAAUUCAUCAUUUGGUACAGUUUUGAAUGUUUGAGAGGCAAUAUGCCAAUCAUGGAGAGUGAUAGAACAUCCACAUCUUCUUCUGGGAAAGCUGGAGGAUCAAAG
Molecule: non-coding RNA, 2111 nt
Organism: Pelobates cultripes (western spadefoot toad)
Lineage: Eukaryota; Metazoa; Chordata; Amphibia; Anura; Pelobatidae
Source: the annotation of a GenBank genome assembly